This 364-nucleotide long non-coding RNA is filed under the name Cyanistes caeruleus (blue tit). Its description in RNAcentral is "lncRNA (ENSCCEG00000012160.1)". Lineage: Eukaryota; Metazoa; Chordata; Aves; Passeriformes; Paridae. The record is from RNAcentral.
AGAGCAUCCAAGCAAAGUGAGGAGAAGGUCAACAGAAGGAAAGGACCUCCAGCCUCUCUCUGGUGUGAGUGUGGUGGAGGGAGCAGAAUCCCAUGGAAGAAUUGUGAGGAAAGGAGAAUUUGAGAGUUUUGUUGAACAUAGAUGAAUUCCCUUAAACCUGUGGAGGGCAGCAGCAAAGUCCUUCUGUGCCAGCCUCUCCUUUGUGGCAGGGGAUGUCUGGAAGGAGGGCAAGAGAACAUUUGUGGUCUGCAGAGCAGAAAACAGGAACCCAGCUGCCAGGUGCCAGUUCAGCCUCUGCAGAUGUGACCAGGGAGGGAUGUUCACCCCUUUUCUUGUGGAGCACUCUGACAUUUGGGGAUAAGAG